Molecule: ribosomal RNA, 491 nt
Filed under: uncultured beta proteobacterium
Lineage: Bacteria; Pseudomonadati; Pseudomonadota; Betaproteobacteria
Description: bacterial SSU rRNA
Source: RNAcentral
GAGUUUGAUYCUGGCUCAGAUUGAACGCUGGCGGCAUGCCUUACACAUGCAAGUCGAACGGCAGCAUGAUCUAGCUUGCUAGAUUGAUGGCGAGUGGCGAACGGGUGAGUAAUACAUCGGAACGUGCCCUGUAGUGGGGGAUAACUAGUCGAAAGAUUAGYUAAUACCGCAUACGACCUGAGGGUGAAAGUGGGGGACCGCAAGGCCUCAUGCUAUAGGAGCGGCCGAUGUYUGAUUAGCUAGUUGGUGGGGUAAAGGCCCACCAAGGCGACGACCAGUAGCUGGUYUGAGAGGACGAUCAGCCACACUGGGACUGAGACACGGCCCAGACUCCUACGGGAGGCAGCAGUGGGGAAUUUUGGACAAUGGGCGAAAGCCUGAUCCAGCAAUGCCGCGUGUGUGAAGAAGGCCUUCGGGUUGUAAAGCACUUUUGUCCGGAAAGAAAUGGCUCUGGUUAAUACCUGGGGUCGAUGACGGUACCGAAGAUUUAG